Molecule: ribosomal RNA, 495 nt
Filed under: uncultured bacterium
Lineage: Bacteria
Description: partial 16S ribosomal RNA
Rfam family: Bacterial small subunit ribosomal RNA
Source: RNAcentral
GAUGAACGCUGGCGGCGGGCCUAAUACAUGCAAGUAGAACGCUGAAGGAGGACUUUGCUCUUCUGGAUGAGUUGCGAACGGGUGAGUAACGCGUAGGUAACCUUCCUGGUAGGGGGGGAUAACUGGUGGAAACGGUAGCUAAUGCCGCAGGACAGCGGGUAUUGCAUGGUAACUUUUGAAAAGGAGGCACUGCUCCGCUACCAGAUGGACCUGAGUUGUAUUAGCUAGUUGGGGAGGUAACGGCUCACCAAGGCGACGAUACAGAGCCGAGCUGAAGUGGGGAACGGCCAACCUGGGAACGGGACCAGGGCCAGAAUCCCUACGGAGGGAGCAGUAGGGAAACUUUGGCAAUGGGCGGAAGUCUGACCCCGCCAAUGCGGGUGAGGGGAGAAGGGUCUUGGAUCGUAAAGGUCUGUUGUAAGGGGAGAAAGGGUAGGAGAGUGGAAACUUGACGCUGUGACGUUACCUUAACAGAAAGGGCCGGCUAACUACGUG